GGAAGCACAAGUUUACAAUUUCUAAACCCUAUUAUAUAUAUGUGCAGCUGAAACUGGACCAAUCCCUGUCAACUAAUCAUAAAUCUGCUCCAUCAUUUCUAGUCUUAGAUUCGAACCACAUACUCUAUAUAGUAUUAAUUCACAAACAAGAACCAACCCAAUUUUUGUGAAAUUUGAAUCAUUUAGAAAUUUGAGUUCUUGCAGUGGGAUUGAAUGAAGAUAUCUUGUAAAUUUCAUGUAUAGGCAGAUUGUGAUGAGAGUAAUCUG
RNAcentral lists this unclassified non-coding RNA (267 nucleotides) under Hevea brasiliensis (rubber tree). Lineage: Eukaryota; Viridiplantae; Streptophyta; Magnoliopsida; Malpighiales; Euphorbiaceae. The record is from RNAcentral.